GACGAACCGUGCGAACGUUGUUCGGAAUCACUGGGCUUAAAGGGCGCGUAGGCGGGCCACCAAGUCAGGGGUGAAAUCCUGCGGCUCAACCGUAGAAGUGCCUUUGAUACUGGUGGCCUUGAGGGAGGUAGGGGCGUGCGGAACUUCCGGUGGAGCGGUGAAAUGCGUAGAUAUCGGAAGGAACACCGGUGGCGAAAGCGGCGCGCUGGACCUCUUCUGACGCUGAGGCGCGAAAGCCAGGGGAGCGAACGGG
This 253-nucleotide ribosomal RNA is filed under the name uncultured bacterium. Its description in RNAcentral is "partial 16S ribosomal RNA". It matches the Rfam family "Bacterial small subunit ribosomal RNA", at positions 524 to 776 of the family's 1533-position model. The record is from RNAcentral.